UACGAAGGGGGCUAGCGUUGUUCGGAAUUACUGGGCGUAAAGGGCGCGUAGGCGGUUCGUCAAGUCAGGCGUGAAAGCCCCGGGCUCAACCUGGGAACCGCGCUUGAGACUGGCACGCUCGAGUUCGGGAGAGGAUGGUGGAAUUCCCAGUGUAGAGGUGAAAUUCGUAGAUAUUGGGAAGAACACCGAUGGCGAAGGCAGCCAUCUGGACCGACACUGACGCUGAGGCGCGAAAGCGUGGGGAGCAAACAGG
This 253-nucleotide ribosomal RNA is filed under the name uncultured bacterium. RNAcentral describes it as "partial 16S ribosomal RNA". It matches the Rfam family "Bacterial small subunit ribosomal RNA", at positions 524 to 776 of the family's 1533-position model. The record is from RNAcentral.